RNAcentral lists this long non-coding RNA (1387 nucleotides) under Felis catus (domestic cat). Its description in RNAcentral is "lncRNA (ENSFCAG00000041700.2)". Lineage: Eukaryota; Metazoa; Chordata; Mammalia; Carnivora; Felidae. The record is from RNAcentral.
AUGCUGAGUGACUUAUGUAGAUCUUUUAUGAUUGUAAAUCAGAUUACCUCCUUAUGUUUGUACAAACCCUUUUCCAGAAUGCUUUCGCAUAUAGUUUUCUCUCUUGAUUUUUCACAGUUUGCGAAGAAUCAUCACCUCCCUGUUAAAGGUGAAGAAAGUGACAUGGGACAUGAUGUGACUGGCCAACGAAUCAUCGUAAGUGAUGUGGCCUCUGGAAGGGGCAGUUCUGUCAGACGGCAGUCUGUCCCCGAUGUUGGCAGAAGGCUGACAGGUCUGGCUGCAGGAGACCCUGAGUACUUACUGCUGUCCAUCAAGCAAGGGAAAGGACCACCUCACAUGUCCAAACGGGGCUGGAUGUUGUCAAAUUCCUCGCAGCUGUGUAAGUAAGACGCUUUCUUUACGUGCUUGGAAAAUAAUAAUGAACUACCAUGCACGCGUAAGGGGGGGGUGUUUAGCAGGGAGGGAAGUGAAAUUCAUCGAGCCCCCAAGUGAACUGUUCUAAAUGCUCUGCAUACUUUCCCUUAUUUCUUCCUCACAUCUAUCAGGAAGGAUUCGUUCAUCCCUAAAUUGCAGAUGAGGACUGAAACUCAGAGAAGUUCAGGAACUUUCCUUUUUUCUAAGUCAUGAAUCUGAGAUUGGAACCCAGGUCUGAUUUCCACACACGAGUCCUUUCUAUGGUGAUUCUCACUGCUUUCCGCAGAUUUCUAAUACCCAAAAGGAGCACAGGGGCUCUCUCCAGCACCAUGGGACGAGGCGGGGAGGUAGAACAGAUGGGGCUGUGUAUCCCCCAACUUGAUUCAACCACACUGGCUUUAUUUUAAUUACUUCUUUUUACGUAGCAACGAUUGCUAAUAUUUAGCGUGUACCUAUAAGUGCCAGCCACUGUAAUUAGCUAUUUCUAUACACUGCAUCAUUCAGUGCUCAUGAUGGCCCUAAGAAAGGGAUGCUAUCACAAUUCCUCAUUUAUCCCCAAGAAGACUGAGACACAGAGAGUAUGAGAAACUUGCCAAAGGUCAUACAGCUAGCUAGCUUGGCCAGGAAUUGACACUGUGUGGUCUGAAUCGAGAACCCAGAAUACCUGAUCCCACCAGAUUUGACUUAAAGAAAGAGAUGUGUGCAGUAUCCCAGGCUGCCUCGUGCAGCAGACUUUUCCUUCCCUCUUCCUUUUUCCCUCCCUUCUCCCCUCCCUUCCUUUCUUCCAUCCAGUCUAUACCAAGUAGGCUCUGGGGGUAAGAAAUUGAGACUGAGUAAAACAAAGUUCUUACCUAAGGAGAAUCUCAGGGUUUGGAAGAAGGAAUCGUAUAUACAAAGCAGAAUGUGAAAGUGGAGCCAUAUUACCCAGGCCCAGAAGAGAGAGGAUGCUUCACAAUCUGACAAACAAGGUGUU